CUACGGGGCGCACCAGUGAGGAAUAUUGCACAAUGGGGGGAACCCUGAUGCAGCAACGCCGCGUGGAGGAUGACGCAUUUCGGUGUGUAAACUCCUUUUAUAUGUCAAGAAAAUGACGGUAGCAUAUGAAUAAGCACCGGCUAACUCCGUGCCAGCAGGCCGCGGUAAUAGGGAGGGUGCAAGCGUUACUCGGAAUCACUGGGCGUAAAGGACGCGUAGGCGGGUUGGAAAGUCAGGUGUGAAAUCCUACAGCUUAACUGUAGAACUGCACUUGAAACUUCUAAUCUAGAGUAUGGGAGGGGGAGAUGGAAUUAGUGGUGUAGGGGUAAAAUCCGUAGAUAUCACUAGGAAUACCUAAAGCGAAGGCGAUCUCCUGGAACAUUACUGACGCUAAGGCGUGAAAGCGUGGGGAGCAAACAGGAUUAGAUACCCUCGUAGUC
RNAcentral lists this ribosomal RNA (440 nucleotides) under uncultured bacterium. RNAcentral describes it as "partial 16S ribosomal RNA". It matches the Rfam family "Bacterial small subunit ribosomal RNA", at positions 339 to 795 of the family's 1533-position model. The record is from RNAcentral.